AUACAGAGGGUGCGAGCGUUAAUCGGAAUUACUGGGCGUAAAGCGCGCGUAGGCGGUCUAUUAAGUCAGAUGUGAAAUCCCAGGGCUCAACCUUGGAACUGCAUCUGAUACUGGUAGACUAGAGUUUUGGAGAGGGAAGUAGAAUUUCAGGUGUAGCGGUGAAAUGCAUAGAGAUCAGAAGGAAUACCAGUGGCGAAGGCGACUUCCUGGCCAAAAACUGACGCUGAGGUGCGAAAGCGUGGGUAGCAAACGGGAUUAGAUACCCCAGUAGUCC
Molecule: ribosomal RNA, 274 nt
Filed under: uncultured bacterium
Lineage: Bacteria
Description: partial 16S ribosomal RNA
Rfam family: Bacterial small subunit ribosomal RNA
Source: RNAcentral